CGAAGGGUGCAAGCGUUACUCGGAAUUACUGGGCGUAAAGCGCGCGUAGGUGGUUUUGUAAGUUGGAGGUGAAAGCCCCGGGCUCAACCUGGGAAUUGCCUCCAAAACUGCAUGACUAGAGUACGGUAGAGGGUAGUGGAAUUUCCUGUGUAGCGGUGAAAUGCGUAGAUAUAGGAAGGAACACCAGUGGCGAAGGCGACUACCUGGACUGAUACUGACACUGAGGUGCGAAAGCGGGGGGAGCAAACAGGAUUAGAUACCCUGGUGGUCCACGCCGUAAACGAUGUCAACUAGCCGUUGGGAUCCUUGAGAUCUUAGUGGCGCAGCUAACGCAUUAAGUUGACCGCCUGGGGAGCACGGCCGCAAGGUUAAAACUCAAAUGAAUUGACGGGG
RNAcentral lists this ribosomal RNA (393 nucleotides) under uncultured bacterium. RNAcentral describes it as "partial 16S ribosomal RNA". It matches the Rfam family "Bacterial small subunit ribosomal RNA", at positions 526 to 918 of the family's 1533-position model. The record is from RNAcentral.